RNAcentral lists this ribosomal RNA (498 nucleotides) under uncultured bacterium. Its description in RNAcentral is "partial 16S ribosomal RNA". It matches the Rfam family "Bacterial small subunit ribosomal RNA", at positions 27 to 507 of the family's 1533-position model. The record is from RNAcentral.
GGAUGAACGCUGGCGGCGUGCCUAAUCCAUGCAAGUCGAGCGAACAGACGAGGAGCUUGCUCCUCUGACGUUAGCGGCGGACGGGUGAGUAACACGUGGAUAACCUACCUAUAAGACUGGGAUAACUUCGGGAAACCGGAGCUAAUACCGGAUAAUAUAUUGAACCGCAUGGUUCAAUAGUGAAAGACGGUUUUGCUGUCACUUAUAGAUGGAUCCGCGCCGCAUUAGCUAGUUGGUAAGGUAACGGCUUACCAAGGCAACGAUGCGUAGCCGACCUGAGAGGGUGAUCGGCCACACUGGAACUGAGACACGGUCCAGACUCCUACGGGAGGCAGCAGUAGGGAAUCUUCCGCAAAGGGCGAAAGCCUGACGGAGCAACGCCGCGUGAGUGAUGAAGGUCUUCGGAUCGUAAAACUCUGUUAUUAGGGAAGAACAAAUGUGUAAGUAACUAUGCACGUCUUGACGGUACCUAAUCAGAAAGCCACGGCUAACUACGUG